Molecule: ribosomal RNA, 1436 nt
Filed under: Lactiplantibacillus plantarum
Lineage: Bacteria; Bacillati; Bacillota; Bacilli; Lactobacillales; Lactobacillaceae
Description: bacterial SSU rRNA
Rfam family: Bacterial small subunit ribosomal RNA
Source: RNAcentral
CAAGUCGAACGAACUCUGGUAUUGAUUGGUGCUUGCAUCAUGAUUUACAUUUGAGUGAGUGGCGAACUGGUGAGUAACACGUGGGAAACCUGCCCAGAAGCGGGGGAUAACACCUGGAAACAGAUGCUAAUACCGCAUAACAACUUGGACCGCAUGGUCCGAGCUUGAAAGAUGGCUUCGGCUAUCACUUUUGGAUGGUCCCGCGGCGUAUUAGCUAGAUGGUGGGGUAACGGCUCACCAUGGCAAUGAUACGUAGCCGACCUGAGAGGGUAAUCGGCCACAUUGGGACUGAGACACGGCCCAAACUCCUACGGGAGGCAGCAGUAGGGAAUCUUCCACAAUGGACGAAAGUCUGAUGGAGCAACGCCGCGUGAGUGAAGAAGGGUUUCGGCUCGUAAAACUCUGUUGUUAAAGAAGAACAUAUCUGAGAGUAACUGUUCAGGUAUUGACGGUAUUUAACCAGAAAGCCACGGCUAACUACGUGCCAGCAGCCGCGGUAAUACGUAGGUGGCAAGCGUUGUCCGGAUUUAUUGGGCGUAAAGCGAGCGCAGGCGGUUUUUUAAGUCUGAUGUGAAAGCCUUCGGCUCAACCGAAGAAGUGCAUCGGAAACUGGGAAACUUGAGUGCAGAAGAGGACAGUGGAACUCCAUGUGUAGCGGUGAAAUGCGUAGAUAUAUGGAAGAACACCAGUGGCGAAGGCGGCUGUCUGGUCUGUAACUGACGCUGAGGCUCGAAAGUAUGGGUAGCAAACAGGAUUAGAUACCCUGGUAGUCCAUACCGUAAACGAUGAAUGCUAAGUGUUGGAGGGUUUCCGCCCUUCAGUGCUGCAGCUAACGCAUUAAGCAUUCCGCCUGGGGAGUACGGCCGCAAGGCUGAAACUCAAAGGAAUUGACGGGGGCCCGCACAAGCGGUGGAGCAUGUGGUUUAAUUCGAAGCUACGCGAAGAACCUUACCAGGUCUUGACAUACUAUGCAAAUCUAAGAGAUUAGACGUUCCCUUCGGGGACAUGGAUACAGGUGGUGCAUGGUUGUCGUCAGCUCGUGUCGUGAGAUGUUGGGUUAAGUCCCGCAACGAGCGCAACCCUUAUUAUCAGUUGCCAGCAUUAAGUUGGGCACUCUGGUGAGACUGCCGGUGACAAACCGGAGGAAGGUGGGGAUGACGUCAAAUCAUCAUGCCCCUUAUGACCUGGGCUACACACGUGCUACAAUGGAUGGUACAACGAGUUGCGAACUCGCGAGAGUAAGCUAAUCUCUUAAAGCCAUUCUCAGUUCGGAUUGUAGGCUGCAACUCGCCUACAUGAAGUCGGAAUCGCUAGUAAUCGCGGAUCAGCAUGCCGCGGUGAAUACGUUCCCGGGCCUUGUACACACCGCCCGUCACACCAUGAGAGUUUGUAACACCCAAAGUCGGUGGGGUAACCUUUUAGGAACCAGCCGCCUA